Molecule: transfer-messenger RNA, 129 nt
Filed under: Chitinophagaceae bacterium
Lineage: Bacteria; Pseudomonadati; Bacteroidota; Chitinophagia; Chitinophagales; Chitinophagaceae
Description: partial transfer-messenger RNA
Rfam family: transfer-messenger RNA
About the family: Bacterial tmRNA, also known as 10Sa RNA or SsrA, is named for its dual tRNA and mRNA-like properties. Its role is to liberate the mRNA from a stalled ribosome.
Source: RNAcentral
CCAUACAGCUAAGGAAUUAAUCGGUUGUUUGUUCCCAGUUGAUUCCCGACAUAACAAAACAAAAUAAACAUGUAGAAAGCUUUUGAAGAAUAUGUUUGGACACCGGUUCGAUUCCGGUCGCCUCCACAA